AAGUCUCGUAGAGGGGGGGGUAGAAUUUCCCAGGGUGUAGCGGUGAAAAUGCGUAGAGAUCUGGGAGGAAUACCCGGUGGCGAAGGCGGCCCCCCUGGACGGAAGACUGACGCUCAGGUGGCAAAACAGGAUUAGAUACCCCUGGUAGUCCACGCCGUAAACGAUGUCGACUUGGGAGGUUGUGCCCUUGAGGCGUGGCUUCCGGAGCUAACGCGUUAAAGUCGACCGCCUGGGGAGUACGGCCGCAAGGUUAAAACUCAAAUGAAUUGACGGGGGCCCCGCACAAGCGGUGGAGCAUGUGGUUUAAUUCGAUGCAACGCGAAGAACCUUACCUGGUCUUGACAUCCACAGAAGUUUUCAGAGAUGAGAAGGUGCCUUCGGGAACCGUGAGACAGGUGCUGCAUGGCUGUCGUCAGCUCGUGUUGUGAAAUGUUGGGUUAAGUCCCGCAACGAGCGCAACCCUUAUCCUUUGUUGCCAGCGGUCCGGCCGGGAACUCAAAGGAGACUGCCAGUGAUAAACUGGAGGAAGGUGGGGAUGACGUCAAGUCAUCAUGGCCCUUACGACCAGGGCUACACACGUGCUACAAUGGCGCAUACAAAGAGAAGCGACCUCGCGAGAGCAAGCGGACCUCAUAAAGUGCGUCGUAGUCCGGAUUGGAGUCUGCAACUCGACUCCAUGAAGUCGGAAUCGCUAGUAAUCGUGGAUCAGA
RNAcentral lists this ribosomal RNA (710 nucleotides) under Escherichia coli. Its description in RNAcentral is "bacterial SSU rRNA". It matches the Rfam family "Bacterial small subunit ribosomal RNA", at positions 642 to 1353 of the family's 1533-position model. The record is from RNAcentral. Lineage: Bacteria; Pseudomonadati; Pseudomonadota; Gammaproteobacteria; Enterobacterales; Enterobacteriaceae.